GAUGAACGCUGGCGGCGUGCCUAAUACAUGCAAGUCGAGCGAACAGACGAGGAGCUUGCUCCUCUGACGUUAGCGGCGGACGGGUGAGUAACACGUGGAUAACCUACCUAUAAGACUGGGAUAACUUCGGGAAACCGGAGCUAAUACCGGAUAAUAUAUUGAACCGCAUGGUUCAAUAGUGAAAGACGGUUUUGCUGUCACUUAUAGAUGGAUCCGCGCCGCAUUAGCUAGUUGGUAAGGUAACGGCUUACCAAGGCAACGAUGCGUAGCCGACCUGAGAGGGUGAUCGGCCACACUGGAACUGAGACACGGUCCAGACUCCUACGGGAGGCAGCAGUAGGGAAUCUUCCGCAAUGGGCGAAAGCCUGACGGAGCAACGCCGCGUGAGUGAUGAAGGUCUUCGGAUCGUAAAACUCUGUUAUUAGGGAAGAACAAAUGUGUAAGUAACUAUGCACGUCUUGACGCACCUAAUCAGAAAGCCACGGCUAACUACGUG
RNAcentral lists this ribosomal RNA (496 nucleotides) under uncultured bacterium. RNAcentral describes it as "partial 16S ribosomal RNA". It matches the Rfam family "Bacterial small subunit ribosomal RNA", at positions 28 to 507 of the family's 1533-position model. The record is from RNAcentral.